UGGUAGCCAUUCUCGCUUGGCCC
RNAcentral lists this non-coding RNA (23 nucleotides) under Arabidopsis thaliana (thale cress). Lineage: Eukaryota; Viridiplantae; Streptophyta; Magnoliopsida; Brassicales; Brassicaceae. The record is from RNAcentral.